CUCAGAUACAAAAUGGCCUCACCGUCCGCGUUAUGGAGCAAGUCACCCUGGACAUUAGAAUGCUCGCUCUUAGGCAGUGUCAUCUGGAAACCUAAGCACACCUUAUGAGGUUUAAACCAAUCUUCCAAGGAAGUGUGUACCCACAAUCUGAAAUGGCCAAUUUAUAGGAACAAGCAUUCCAGAUGGCAUUUACUCGGUUGAUGACAGUUUAUCAGUUGCCUGGAGAGCAUUUGUAUUUCACCUAUUUUGGAGGGAACUCACAACUGAAAUUAUCACCAGAUACAGAGUGCAGAGAUAUGUGAAGAUCACUUGGAUCCAGACUGUUUUGAGAGCCAUCAAGCAACUACAGGGCCAUACACAACCCUACCAUAUUCAGAUUGAAGACUGACUACUAGCAUCACAGGACAAGACUAAGCAACUGGUAGAACAGGAAGACUGCCACAUGAGGGUAAGCCAACUGCAUGAGGAACUUUUCUGCUGCACUUCUCAGCUGCUUCCUACACAAGAGAAGUAACAAAUGUUCAAGGAUCCAGCUGUCAUGCAAGGGACAAUGAAAAGGAAAAGGAUAAAUUGACAAUACUGAAGAGUCGAAAAGCCAUGGCAGAAAGGGUUGAGGACGACGGUGUCUACAUCAGAACUUCCAGUACAACCUCCAGUUUGGCUGGCGUUGAGGCCUUGAUUUCUUCUGUAGCCAUGGCUCUCAGUGCUGUCAAUGGUAGCACUGUCAGUAGCAGAGCAUGAGACGUUGGAACAACCUUUGGGUUCAAGCACUCACAAAACAUUCAGGUUUUAAGAGCAAGUAUGAAACUGCUGAGUGCAUAAGAGGAGACAUAUUUAAGGCACACAGUGCUGACACUGCUGACAAGAGCAGUUGCACUGUUUGUAGAAAUGAUGAGAGAGAUGACUUGAUUAAACCUCCAGUAGACGGUAACUUUGUUAAAUUCCCAAAUUCUUACGGUGAAGAGUUUAGUUCUAUGAAAGAGGAUGACAGUUCUCAAGGAGUGUGCAGUUCAUUAGGCAAUGUCUUGUCAUACAGAUGUCGAAAUGCCCGCUUUUUUGCUUGUUAUAUGAAACAAUUUGUGCAUUUAGAAAUAAGUUAACCUAAAUGUUAAAUUACAAGUUUUAUUGAUUAUCUUGCAAGUAACUUGCUGUCACCAUGGAAUGAAUACUUAUUGGAGAUUAUAGUAAGGUUUUCGUUUUUGCUUAUCUGUAAAAAUUUUUUUUUUUACUAUAAUAAUUGUUAUGCCUCUCAAGGCUGAAGAAUGACAGAGCCUUCAUUUGAGUUAAAGGAGAUCUUGCUGAACAAUUUAUUUUAUGUCUGAAGCAGAUUAACCUCCUUGGCAUUGUAUCUAGAGUGUCACUUGGGCGCACAAUUUUAGGUAAAACCAGAUGACUCAUUCCUGGUAAGCUAGUAAAGUACUUGGGCAGUCCUGUCCUUUUAAAUGAAUUUGUGUUUCUGAGAAAUACUGAAGAUUAUCAAUUUCAACAUAAAAUUCCAACCCAAGGAUUACUUAGGAUGGAUAUCAAGGAGGUUAAGUGAAUGCGUCUUGGGUGUUAAAGAGUUAAACAUGAGAAAAAUGGCAUCAUGUGGUCCCAAUAUCGUGUUAGCAGUGUUUAGACAGCUUGAUGAUAUAUUUAGGCUUUCCAGUACAAGUAGAAUUAGUAUGAUCAUUUUAAGUCUCCCUGAUAUCAUGCAUAUAGUAUCUGAUGUUUUAAAUGGAAACAGCUGUGUGCAUACUUGUGUGUCUGCCGUAUACAUUCCAAGAAGUGUAUGUACCAGGCAGAAACACAUAGAGAAACAUGCACAUUCUUUUUUUCUCAAUGACCCCUCUAAUUUGAUUGUUCACAACUGAUGUCAAGAGAGAUGUGUGUAUGAUUUGUUUUUUCCAAAAUGGUGUGGGAAGUCAUUUGAAAGUCUAAAGGGCACAUGGUGGCAACGGGGAGAAGGAUAACGAGAACAGAAAGUACCAAGCGAUUCUUGCCAUGUAUGAAUGUCUAGAGUUUUUAUUAGAAGUAAUUUUUGUUGUGUUUACUAGGAAGUGCAUUAGCAUUUUGUUCCCUUUUUUUAUCUCGAAAAAGACUGAACUGCUGGAAGGAGCUCGUCUAUUUAAAUCGUUUGUGUGAUGAUCAAGAUAUCAAUGGUCAUGACCUAGAAGUUGGCUUCAAACUAGUGUCAUUUAGUGACAUGGAACAGCUCAUAUUUUUUAGAAAAGAUGAACAGAAGAUGUUUUUCUAAGUAGACAUGGCAUGAGAUAAGAAUACACAAUGUUAUUACUAGAAUAGUGUUCCACACUGAAUAAAAUAAUUGGUAAGUUGC
This 2317-nucleotide long non-coding RNA is filed under the name Pomacea canaliculata. RNAcentral's name for it is "uncharacterized LOC112562765, transcript variant X1". Lineage: Eukaryota; Metazoa; Mollusca; Gastropoda; Architaenioglossa; Ampullariidae. The record is from RNAcentral.